GCCGGGUGUGGUGGCUCACACCUGUAAUCCCAGCACUUUGGGAGGCUGAGGCGGGUGGAUCACCUGAGGUCAGGAGUUCGAGACCAGCCUGACCAACAUGGAGAAACCCCGUCUCUA
This 117-nucleotide signal recognition particle RNA is filed under the name Chlorocebus sabaeus (green monkey). RNAcentral describes it as "Metazoan signal recognition particle RNA". It matches the Rfam family "Metazoan signal recognition particle RNA". From Rfam's summary of the family: The signal recognition particle (SRP) is a universally conserved ribonucleoprotein. It is involved in the co-translational targeting of proteins to membranes. Lineage: Eukaryota; Metazoa; Chordata; Mammalia; Primates; Cercopithecidae. The record is from Rfam by way of RNAcentral.